UAAAAUCAAGUAAAACAAUUAGUUGAGUCAUUGAGAGUCAAAAGUUGGUUUUAGAGGUAUUAUGCUUGGUUUUACAUUGUUUUGCAGGGUUUUGAGGUGAUUUGAAGAUGGAAGUGAAGUAAGGUGGACUUGUGCUCGUGAAAGAUGAAGAAAAAGGAUGAAAAGAAGAGCCAAAGGAAAUGAUGAGCGCUAGAACGGACCGCUGAGUGCCCAGUGCGAUUAGAGCCAAACCGCUGAGCGG
RNAcentral lists this long non-coding RNA (241 nucleotides) under Vigna radiata. Its description in RNAcentral is "long non-coding RNA (VRAD_LNC008720)". The record is from RNAcentral. Lineage: Eukaryota; Viridiplantae; Streptophyta; Magnoliopsida; Fabales; Fabaceae.